This 116-nucleotide ribosomal RNA is filed under the name Pteropus alecto (black flying fox). Lineage: Eukaryota; Metazoa; Chordata; Mammalia; Chiroptera; Pteropodidae. The record is from RNAcentral.
GUCUACAGUUAUGCCACCCUGAACAAGCCCGAUGUCUGGUCUCGGAAGCUAUGCAGUGUCGGGCCUAGUUAAUGCUUGGAUGGGAGAACACCUAGGAAGACGAGGUGCUGUAGGCA